CACCUAUACAUGAGAACAUACAAUAUUUGGUUUUCCAUUCCAUCUCAGAGGCCUUCAAGCCCCCAGGCCUGGUUCCUACUCUAUCAACUGCUCUCUGUCUCCAAAAGACUGUCCUUGCUAAUGUCACCAAGGACCUCUAUGAGCCAAAUUUAGGACUUUUCAGCCUUCAUUUGACUCCCAGUCCCUUCAAUAUUGAAGGCUGUUGACUACCCCUUCAUUUGGAAUCUCUCUGUCCCUUCUUUCAUGUCCUCACACUCUCUCUGACUAGUCCUCCCUCAAGCUUCUCACAAGGAAUGGCUUCCCUUUUCUUCAUACUGCACACUACUGCAGGGUAAGUUAAUCUAGCUCUUUGCAGGGAGCUGUGGACAGAGCUUGGACACACAGGCUGGGGCGUCUACACGUGCAUGCAAGCUCUCAACACACAGGAAGGAACUGGAGGUGGGAAAAUAACUCUCAGGCUGGUCAUGAUCUCUCAAACCAGAAUUCCCUUCAUGCCAGCUGCCUAUGGAGCCUCUAGUCAGUCAUUGUGAUGGUCAUGAGUGACCUCACUGAGUGCUGACUGUGAGCCAGGCUGAGUGAUGCACUUUACGUGGAUUAUCACCCUCUGUGGAGUCCCACACUCCUGUGACUCAGGUGUUGUUACUUCCCUUCAAGGCAUCAAGAAGUUAAGGGACUACCCAAGGCCACUGUAGCUAGUAAGUGGGGAAGGUGGGAUUCACACCCAGGGGUCUUGCUCCAGAGCCUGGGCCUAAAACCACUCAAUAUCUUCAAACAAACCUCCUGCUCCUCUGUCAGCCCUUUGUAUAUCAGAGGUGCCAUUAUUCAUGCCCUCAGAAAAGCCAGGGUCCUGGGAGGAGGGGUCCUCACCUCUCAGACAGGGUCAUCACCUCUUACCUCUUUCUCCGACCCACAUUCAGCCAUCACUAAACCAGGCAAACCCCCAUAUCAGUAACUUUCAAAUCCAUUCCUGUUAGGGAAUGAAUGUUUGUUUCCCCCCUCCAUUCCUGUGUUGAAGCUCUAACACUCACUGUGAUGGUAUUUGGUGAUGGGGCCUUUGGAAGGUGAUUAGGUUUAGAUGAGGUCAUGAAGGUGGGGUCCUCACAAUGGGAUUAGUGCCCUUAUAAGAAGAGACUCCAGGGCUUCCUCUCUACCACAUGAGGACAGAGUGAGAAGAUGGCUGUCUGCAACUGCCCUAAGGGCCAUCACAAGAACUCAACCGUGCAGGUCUUGAUCUCAGACUUCCAGCCUCCAGAACUGGGAAACGCCAUGUGAAGAUUAUGGAUUUCUGCUGCCACAAGCCAAGUAACUACCAGAAGCCAGGAGAGAGGGCUGGAGCAAGGGAGCCUGGCCCUGACGACACCUUGAUCUCAGACUUCGGGCCUCCAUAAUUAUGUAGUUUCACUCUUCUUGCCCAGGCUGG
This 1420-nucleotide long non-coding RNA is filed under the name Homo sapiens (human). RNAcentral describes it as "HSALNT0358316". Lineage: Eukaryota; Metazoa; Chordata; Mammalia; Primates; Hominidae. The record is from RNAcentral.